UACGUAGGGACCAAGCGUUGUUCGGAUUUACUGGGCGUAAAGGGCGCGUAGGCGGCGCGGUAAGUCACCUGUGAAAUCUCCUGGCUCAACUGGGAGCUUGCAGGCGAAACUGCCGUGCUGGAGUGUGGGAGAGGUGCGUGGAAUUCCUGGUGUAGCGGUGAAAUGCGUAGAUAUCAGGAGGAACACCUGUGGCGAAAGCGGCGCACUGGACCACAACUGACGCUGAGGCGCGAAAGCUAGGGGAGCAAACAGG
This 253-nucleotide ribosomal RNA is filed under the name uncultured bacterium. RNAcentral describes it as "partial 16S ribosomal RNA". It matches the Rfam family "Bacterial small subunit ribosomal RNA", at positions 524 to 776 of the family's 1533-position model. The record is from RNAcentral.